RNAcentral lists this ribosomal RNA (907 nucleotides) under uncultured bacterium. RNAcentral's name for it is "bacterial SSU rRNA". It matches the Rfam family "Bacterial small subunit ribosomal RNA", at positions 33 to 931 of the family's 1533-position model. The record is from RNAcentral.
ACGCUGGCGGCAGGCUUAACACAUGCAAGUCGAACGGUAGCAGGAGAAAGCUUGCUUUCUUGCUGACGAGUGGCGGACGGGUGAGUAAUGCUUGGGAAUCUGGCUUAUGGAGGGGGAUAACUACGGGAAACUGUAGCUAAUACCGCGUAGUGUCGAGAGACGAAAGUGCGGGACCGCAAGGCCGCAUGCCAUAGGAUGAGCCCAAGUGGGAUUAGGUAGUUGGUGGGGUAAAGGCCUACCAAGCCUGCGAUCUCUAGCUGGUCUGAGAGGAUGGCCAGCCACACUGGAACUGAGACACGGUCCAGACUCCUACGGGAGGCAGCAGUGGGGAAUAUUGCGCAAUGGGGGGAGCCCUGACGCAGCCAUGCCGCGUGAAUGAAGAAGGCCUUCGGGUUGUAAAGUUCUUUCGGUAUUGAGGAAGGUUGAUGUGUUAAUAGUACAUCAAAUUGACGUUAAAUACAGAAGAAGCACCGGCUAACUCCGUGCCAGCAGCCGCGGUAAUACGGAGGGUGCGAGCGUUAAUCGGAAUAACUGGGCGUAAAGGGCACGCAGGCGGUUAUUUAAGUGAGGUGUGAAAGCCCCGGGCUUAACCUGGGAAUUGCAUUUCAGACUGGGUAACUAGAGUACUUUAGGGAGGGGUAGAAUUCCACGUGUAGCGGUGAAAUGCGUAGAGAUGUGGAGGAAUACCGAAGGCGAAGGCAGCCCCUUGGGAAUGUACUGACGCUCAUGUGCGAAAGCGUGGGGAGCAAACAGGAUUAGAUACCCUGGUAGUCCACGUUGUAAACGCUGUCGAUUUGGGGAUUGGGCUUAAAGCUUGGUGCCCGUAGCUAACGUGAUAAAUCGACCGCCUGGGGAGUACGGCCGCAAGGUUAAAACUCAAAUGAAUUGACGGGGGCCCGCACAAGCG